RNAcentral lists this ribosomal RNA (245 nucleotides) under uncultured Acidisoma sp. Its description in RNAcentral is "partial 16S ribosomal RNA". It matches the Rfam family "Bacterial small subunit ribosomal RNA", at positions 524 to 768 of the family's 1533-position model. The record is from RNAcentral. Lineage: Bacteria; Pseudomonadati; Pseudomonadota; Alphaproteobacteria; Acetobacterales; Acidocellaceae.
UACGAAGGGGGCUAGCGUUGCUCGGAAUGACUGGGCGUAAAGGGCGCGUAGGCGGAUGACACAGUCAGGCGUGAAAUUCCCGGGCUCAACCUGGGGGCUGCGCUUGAUACAUGUUGUCUUGAGUUCGGAAGAGGGUCGUGGAAUUCCCAGUGUAGAGGUGAAAUUCGUAGAUAUUGGGAAGAACACCGGUGGCGAAGGCGGCGACCUGGUCCGAUACUGACGCUGAGGCGCGAAAGCGUGGGGAG